GGUAGACUGGGUUAGACUGGUGUUAGGGUUAGACUGGGUUAGACGUUGGUGUUAGGGUUAGACUGUGGUGUUAGGGUUAGACUGGGUUAGACUGGUGUUAGGGUUAGACUGGGUUAGACUGGGGCGUUAGGGUUAGACUGGGUUAGACUGUGGUGUUAGGGUUAGACUGGGUUAGACUGGUGUUAGUGUUAGACUGGGUUAGACUGUGGUGUUAGGGUUAGACUGGGGCAUUAGGGUUAGACUGGUUUAGACUGUGGCGCUAGGGUUAGAUUGUUGUUAGGGUUAGACUGGGUUAGACUGUGGAUUUAGGGUUAGACUGGGUAAGACUGGUGUCAGGGUUAGACUGGGUUAGACUAUGGAGUUAGGGUUAGACUGGGUUAGACUGUGGUGUUAGGGUUAGACUGGGUUAGACUGUGGUGUUAGUGUUAGACUGGGUUAGACUGUGGUGUUAGGGUUAGACUGGGGCAUUAGGGUUAGACUGGUUUAGACUGUGGCGCUAGGGUUAGACUGUUGUUAGAGUUAGACUGGGUUAGACUGUGGAUUUAGGGUUAGACUGGGUAAGACUGGUGUCAGGGUUAGACUGGGUUAGACUAUGGAGUUAGGGUUAGACUGGGUUACACUGUGGUGUUAGGGUUAGACUGGGUUAGACUGUGGAGUUAGGUUUAGACUGGGUUAGACUGUGGAGUUAGGGUUAGACUGGGUUAGACUGUGGUGCUAGGGUUAGACUGGGUUUGACUGUGGUGUUAGUGUUAGACUGGGUUAGACUGUGGUGUUAGGGUUAGACUGGGGCAUUAGGGUUAGACUGGUUUAGACUGUAGCGCUAGGGUUAGACUGUUGUUAGGGUUAGACUGGGUUAGACUGUGGAUUUAGGGUUAGACUGGGUAAGACUGGUGUCAGGGUUAGACUGGGUUAGACUAUGGAGUUAGGGUUAGACUGGGUUACACUGUGGUGUU
Oncorhynchus tshawytscha (Chinook salmon) is the source of this 953-nucleotide long non-coding RNA. NCBI's taxonomy places the organism in Eukaryota, Metazoa, Chordata, Actinopteri, Salmoniformes, Salmonidae. The record is from Ensembl.